AGAUUGAACGCUGGCGGCAGGCCUAACACAUGCAAGUCGAGCGGUAGAGAGGUGCUUGCAUCUCUUGAGAGCGGCGGACGGGUGAGUAAUGCCUAGGAAUCUGCCUAGUGGUGGGGGAUAACGUUCGGAAACGGACGCUAAUACCGCAUACGUCCUACGGGAGAAAGCGGGGGACCUUCGGGCCUCGCGCCAUUAGAUGAGCCUAGGUCGGAUUAGCUAGUUGGUGAGGUAAUGGCUCACCAAGGCGACGAUCCGUAACUGGUCUGAGAGGAUGAUCAGUCACACUGGAACUGAGACACGGUCCAGACUCCUACGGGAGGCAGCAGUGGGAAUAUUGGACAAUGGGCGAAAGCCUGAUCCAGCCAUGCCGCGUGUGUGAAGAAGGCCUUCGGUUGUAAAGCACUUUAAGUUGGUAAGAAAACCUACGACUCUAACACAGUAGUAAGUCUUAGACGUAACCGACAAGAAUAAGACACCGCUAACUCUAGUGCCAAGCAACG
Molecule: ribosomal RNA, 500 nt
Filed under: uncultured soil bacterium
Lineage: Bacteria
Description: bacterial SSU rRNA
Rfam family: Bacterial small subunit ribosomal RNA
Source: RNAcentral